Molecule: long non-coding RNA, 273 nt
Filed under: Capsicum annuum
Lineage: Eukaryota; Viridiplantae; Streptophyta; Magnoliopsida; Solanales; Solanaceae
Description: long non-coding RNA (CANN_LNC003219)
Source: RNAcentral
UGAAAUAUGGAGCCCUAAUUUUUCUUGCGGGCGAAAUCGACAUUCCAUAAGCUAUAAACUCCAAACUCAAGUUGUGCGGUUCGUAAUGCAUGUGCUUAAGUUUUAUUGUAUGUUCAAGUUUAGUCCACCGGCAACACCCUUAGCGACCAAUAAGAUUCAAUUUAUGUCCUUGGUGUCCUUAAUCUUUAAUCUUAAUUCUGGUUGAAUUCAUGUAUUUGAUGCCCUAGUUCUCCGGCCUCAAUAACCGCACCAAGUCAUACACAAUAUCCCUUC